Molecule: small nucleolar RNA, 134 nt
Organism: Nannospalax galili (Upper Galilee mountains blind mole rat)
Lineage: Eukaryota; Metazoa; Chordata; Mammalia; Rodentia; Spalacidae
Product: predicted gene, 23262
Source: Ensembl
CUGCCCGAUGAUUAUAAAAAGACGCGAAGAGGACUUAAGCUGGCGCUCUUCCUUUUUCUCUCUUUCCUAUACUUCUUUCUCUUUCUUUGACUGUCCAGCGUCCUAUGAGCGAAGAUUAUGAGAUAUGAGGGCAG